UUUCUCUAUGACGAGACGAAGGAGCCAAAAACCUCCCUGCCGGCUACUCAGGCGCCCCCUAUUGGGCUGCACCUCGAACGCUAGAGCGAGAUCGCUCCAGCCAAUCAGAGAAGAAAAAGGCCCACACAACAUAUUGGAUCUCUUGGAAGAAUCUUCCUUCUGCAACUCAAAAUGUGGAUUUAAAAUGUCUUAGAGAUUUGCAUCUUUGACAACAGGAACUGAUACAGUCCGGAAACAUCAUUACUAUACAUAGUCAGAAAAAGAGACAGAAAUCAGAGACAGGAAGCAGAAAUGGGCAUGCAUCUGAGACUCAUACUAGGCUAAAAGCUUGCCCUAGAAUAUACUGCCUGGACAGGCUGUGCAUGUAUGCAUAUAUGCACAAAGGUGAGAGUUCAAGCAAAAGAAUGCUUGUGUGCGCACACAAGUUAAA
This is a long non-coding RNA of Rhineura floridana, 430 nucleotides long. RefSeq lists it as uncharacterized. The transcript has 3 exons. The record is from RefSeq and is a predicted model, not a curated record. NCBI's taxonomy places the organism in Eukaryota, Metazoa, Chordata, Lepidosauria, Squamata, Rhineuridae.